Molecule: ribosomal RNA, 433 nt
Filed under: uncultured bacterium
Lineage: Bacteria
Description: partial 16S ribosomal RNA
Rfam family: Bacterial small subunit ribosomal RNA
Source: RNAcentral
AGCGAACGCUGGCGGCAGGCCUAACACAUGCAAGUCGAACGAACUCUUCGGAUUUAGUGGCGGACGGGUGCGUAACACGUGGGAACGUGCCUUUUGGUUCGGAAUAACUCAGGGAAACUUGUGCUAAUACCGAAUGUGCCCUUCGGGGGAAAGAUUUAUCGCCAUUAGAGCGGCCCGCGUCUGAUUAGCUAGUUGGUGAGGUAACGGCUCACCAAGGCGACGAUCAGUAGCUGGUCUGAGAGGAUGACCAGCCACACUGGGACUGAGACACGGCCCAGACUCCUACGGGAGGCAGCAGUGGGGAAUCUUGCGCAAUGGGCGAAAGCCUGACGCAGCCAUGCCGCGUGAAUGAUGAAGGUCUUAGGAUUGUAAAAUUCUUUCACCGGGGACGAUAAUGACGGUACCCGGAGAAGAAGCCCCGGCUAACUUCGUG